RNAcentral lists this ribosomal RNA (497 nucleotides) under uncultured bacterium. Its description in RNAcentral is "partial 16S ribosomal RNA". It matches the Rfam family "Bacterial small subunit ribosomal RNA", at positions 28 to 507 of the family's 1533-position model. The record is from RNAcentral.
GAUGAACGCUGGCGGCGUGCCUAAUACAUGCAAGUCGAGCGAAAAGACGAGGCACUUGCUUCUCUCACGUUAGCGGCGCAGGGGUGAGUAACACGUGGAGAACGUACCUAUAAGACUGGGAUAAAUUCGGGAAAACGGAGCCAAUUACCGCAAAUAUAUUCAACCGCAUGGUUCAAUAGUUAAAGGCCGCUUUGCUGCCGCUUAUCGCAGGUUCCGCUUCGCAUUAGGUUGUUGGUAAGGUAACGGCUUACCAAGGCAACGAUGCGUAGCCGACCUGAGAGGAUGAUCGGCCACACUGGAGCUGAGACACGGUCCAGACUCCUACGGGAGGCAGCAGUAGGGAAUCUUGCGCAAUGGGCGAAAGCCUGACGCAGCAACGCCGCGUGUGUGAUGAAGGCCUUCGGAUCGUAAAGCUCUGUUAGCAGGGAAGAACAAAUUUGUGAGUAAAUAUGCACGUAUUGACGGUACCUGAACAGGAAGCCACGGCUAACUACGUG